RNAcentral lists this long non-coding RNA (1550 nucleotides) under Daucus carota (carrot). RNAcentral's name for it is "long non-coding RNA (DCAR_LNC003024)". Lineage: Eukaryota; Viridiplantae; Streptophyta; Magnoliopsida; Apiales; Apiaceae. The record is from RNAcentral.
AAGUAUAAAUAUACUUAACUGUACUUUAUUUUAUUACGAAAAUCAUAAAACCAGUUAAAACCGAGAAAUUCCCGAGAGAGUUCUUCGUGUUCUUGAGAUUCAAACGAGGAUUUGGACGCGUUAUCGGACUCGGAUUUUGGUGUUCAAGGGCUCAAAUUGAAGGUUUUAACAAGUAGAAUCAUAAUCUAGCAUCAAAAUCAGUGCAGCAACAUCAGGUGGGUGUGGAUUUUGAGAUUUAAAUUCGAACUAAAUAGGCUUAAAUUAGGGCUUUUUGAUUUUGAAGUUGUUUGUGUGAUUUGAUGAUUGUAUGUUGUAGAUGAUGUUCUCCUGAUCAUUUUGGUAUAUCAUAUGCAUGAUUUGGAGUUCAAUAACAUGGUUAAUUUGAGGAUUAAUUAUCGAAUUGAAGAACUAGGGUUCUAAAUCGCGAUGAAUGUUUUUAAUUGGAAUUAGGAACUUUUGAUUCACUGAUUCUGGGUAUAAAUUGAAGCCACGAGCAUGUUUAUCUUGUUGCAAGCAAUCGUUUCAUGCUAGUAUUGUAGUUGGAGGAGGUCGGAAUCGAGUUCGCCGGAGUUUUAUGAACUCGCCGGCGGCGGAAACUUUGAACGGCUGUUACAGCCGAUUGGGGAGUACGUUGGUUGAUUGGAUGCUACGACAGGACUCCUGACGAAGAGAGGAGUCGAUCUGCACCUUUUGGUGCAGAUCUGGGCUGUUGUCACCGUCUCCGGCGGUCGGGGGCGUCGCCGGUGGUAAAUUACCACCUGGCCCCCUGACUUUUGGAGAUGGUAACUUUUAAACCCUGAGGUUUUCAAAGUUUGCAAAUCAAACCCUGAACUUUUAAAACCUUUAAAAAGUUUUAUUUAUUUAAAUUUAAUUUCGAAAAUCAUUUAUUUUAAUUUCAAAAAUUGUUUUUAAUUAUUUAUUAAUUCAAAAAUAAUUCUGAUUUAAUUUAUUAAUUAAUUUUAAUUAGUAAUUAAUUAUUAUAAUUAGUCAAUUAAUUUAAUUAUUAAUUGAUUAAUUGUUUUAAUUAAUUAUUAAUUGAUUUUAAUUGAUUUAUUAAUUAGAUUUAAUUAUUUUAAAUAAUUUUAAAUGAUUUUAAAAUUCCGAAAAAUAGUUUCGAGCUUUAAAAUAUUAUUUUAAAAUAUGAUUGAAGCUCGUUAAUUGAUUUCAAAGGAUUUCGGACUUGAUUUCGAGUAUCCAAAAAUUGAUUAUUUAUUUAUAAAAUGAUUCUUUGACCCGUUUUAAUUCCGAAAAAUGUUUAAAAAUUCAUAAUAAAUACCAGAAAAAUCCGUUUGACUUCAAACUUCUUUUGAAAAAUAUAUUUUAUUAAAUAUUUUAUGUGAUAUGUGCUAUGUGCUAUCUGAUUGACAUGUUAUGUGUCUACGUGAUUGAUAUAAAAUUGUUUUUGACAUAUCUUUUGAUCCGUAAAUCGGAUUUGGGUGAAACGAAGGGUAGAUAGAAGCUCGUUUCGAAUGUAAGAUGAUGAGAAUAGUAUGAGAUCACAUAUUGAUAAUUAGUUGUGAUGAUUAGCAGAGAAGCCAGGCGUAAUAAAG